AAAAAUCACCACCGUAAACAACCCGAAAUAACCUCAAAAAUCCGCCGUUUCAGCAGAGAUGGCUGUAAUGUAUAAGUCGAAAUGUGGUGUGUAUAGUCUUUUUUUUUUUUUUUUUUUCCCUUUCCCUAGGCUUUUUGUUUUUCUGUCUGUCUGUCGGGGAGGCAUCCCCAUCCCGGUGCGCCCCGUCGGGGUCUGGACGGGAGGUGGGAGAUGCGACUUCUCCCCCACUUCUUGGAGACCCCAUUCCCCGCCGGGGAACUCGAUGCUGUCGGUCGGCUAAUGAGGCGGUGGGACUUUGUUUAACCCCGUUGCCCCCGGGGCCAGGGGUCAAGGGCUUCCUCUUCCCCCGGGACAUGGCAGAGAGGCCGUCGGUCACAACACGAGGACCGCGGCGGGGAGGGGGAUGUGACGGCCGCAAUGUUCCCCCCGCCCCGCCGCGACCCUCACGUGCGAUCGGCGUAGGACCCCGAAAACCUUCAUGUCUCCCCGGCAUCGAGAGGCUGAGGAAGGCUCCAUGUGGGUGUUUUGGGGGAGCAAGGGGCGGUCAAACAUCACCACGGGGCAGAGGGGAAUGCGAAGAAGCGGCUCCUGCCCUCCAGCAACCCCGGCUCUGCCUUCCACUCCCAACUGGAGCAGGACGUUUUUAUCGGAGUACUGAUUUUAUCGGGGUUUCACCCCCUCCCUCCACAGGCAGAGAUAUCUUAGCUGCCCCCCCCGGAGCCAAGAAAUGGGAGAGAAACGGGCAAUUUUUAUAGGUGACGUACGGGCUUACGUGAGAAUCCGUGCCCAGCACUGCUCUUUUUUCUCCUGAAAUAACCCUUCCGUGCAGCUCGCACCCCCCUAUUCCGGCUCGCACCCCCUUUUCAAGGCUGGGGGGGUAAGUCGGGAGAGGGGGAAGCGAAAGAGAAAAGAAAAGCACUCCCCAACAUCCCGCUCUUUUCCUGCUCGGGCAGCGAGCACCGGAGCUCCCAAAGUGAGUGGCGAAGAGAGCGACGAGAGACAGGCGGGAGCCGUCUCCGAGGUGGAGGGGUCGGGAGUGGGAUGAGAAUAGGGGAGGACCGUCCUUUUCGGGAUCAAGGGAGAACCAGCGAAGGAAGGAGGCUGGCGGCACCGCGGGCAUCCGAGAAAACCUGUCUGGGGAUCCCUGUGUAUUCAUCGGGGCUGCGAGAGACUCCCCAGAGCCGCUCCGGGGCAUCGGUGGAGUGAAUCGGAGAUAAAAAAUAGGAGCCAGGUUAAACGCAGGAAGGAAGAGGAGGAGAGGUCGGAAGCGAAGUAAAGCUCCCGCCGCCCUGCCCCGACCGUGCCCGCACCCUGGAGCGGACGGACGAACGGACAGACAGAUGGCCGGCAUCCCCGACGGAGGGAUGUUUCUGUCUUUGGUUAUCUAGCUGUAUGAGUGUUGUGGAGCCAUCAUAAAGCUAGAUAACCGAAAGUAGAAAUGACUUCCAGACCUGCUCGCCCGGGGGAAGCGGCCGCACCAGGACCGGCGGUGCAGAGACGGCCCGACUCGCCGCCCUGGCGCUCCAGGGCCAGCAAAGCACCGCCAUAACCACAGUAAGGAAAAAGGAUCUCAGCCUGAAUUUGGCUAUACCGGGAGAAAGAAAAGUUCUGAGGAGCUGUUAUUAUAUAUUCUAAUGAGAAGUCAUUGGAGAAAUUAAAAAGGGCAGAGAAAGACGAAGACGCCAGCACUAAUUCCGCAGGAAGCCUCCCAGGGAAAAGGCUGUGUGAGUGUGAACGCUGAAAAGCAUGAAGGCCUGGAAUUAGACUAUCAUUUAGAAAGCGUUACUAAUCCGAAGUUACAGCAGUAAUUCCAUGAUUUGCUGGGUCCCACACGCAGCGCCAGAAUUAAAGAUACGGAUUUUCUAGAAAUGUAACUCAACUGUGGCACCGAGUCUCGGGAAGAUCCGAAUGAAUCAUUCAUUCCAAAGGCAGCGAAAGACGUGUCAUUAAGAACCAUCCUCCUUCUAUCCAGCCCAUCUGGAAUAUGUAUACUCGAUGCAAUCCCAGAAAUUGUGGAAGAGAUUGGAGACAUGACUGAGAGUUCCUGGAGUGGGAUGCCUUGGGAAGGGCUGGGACGUCUCCACCUGAGCAAGGAGAGAUCUCAGUGAGCGGAGAAGGGAUUUUUCAAGCCUGUGGGUUCCUUUUUGCUGUUGGCUACCGCCUGUCCGGACUUGCCACCUGACUUCUUCAAGUUUCUCCAAGAGGGUCUCAACUGCUUCUCCAUUGGCCCCAGAGAAGAGGCAGCUUUGACUCAUGAGCACAGCGGGUUUCUGCAUCACUUCGAAUCAUGCCGGUCCACCCAUGGGGAGGGAGCCAGGGCAACACAAGGGAUCAUCCCACAUCACUCCUGUAUGUUGCCUUCAGUGCCCUCAAUGCCCCUGAGCAGGACCGAAGUGCUUAGACAGAGAGACCCAAGCCAGUCACUGUGACACCUGGUGAAAUACCGGGUGUGUGUGAAGAUUGGAGGGAGCUUUUAGCCCCCAGCUUUGCUCAUGGAGCAAAGCUUGGCCCUUGCUGCUCUUGAUCCCUGGGUCUGUGGAGCUGUGGGAGCGCAGCCUUCCCGAAGGCACUGUGCUUGUGGCUCAGAGGACCCCGAGCCUGUCCAGGCCAGACAGCCCUGCUGCUGUUGUACUACACCCUCUCUGUUCCUGUAAGAGAAAUGAACUGCCUGUACUUAUCUCCCAUUCAAAUCCCGCCCCCCCAUGCACUGUUGAAAAUAAACUCUCCCUUUUG
Empidonax traillii (willow flycatcher) is the source of this 2733-nucleotide long non-coding RNA. RefSeq lists it as uncharacterized. The transcript is spliced from 6 exons. NCBI's taxonomy places the organism in Eukaryota, Metazoa, Chordata, Aves, Passeriformes, Tyrannidae. The record is from RefSeq and is a predicted model, not a curated record.